GACGAACGCUGGCGGCGUGCUUAACACAUGCAAGUCGAACGGAAACUCCCGGCUUUUGUGCGGUCCUCUAGUUGCGAACUGGUAACUAACACGUAAGUUACCUACCCCUGCCUUUGAGAUAACUUCAUACAACUGAAGCUCAUACCGGCUAGGAUCUCUUGCUGCUUGGUGGGCGUUGGUAAGUUUCGGCGGUUGGGGAUGGACUCGCCUCUUAUUGGAUUGUUGGUGAGGUAGUGGCUUACCAUGGCUUUGACCGGUGGCCGGGCUGAGAGGGUGACCGGCCAAAUUGGGACUGAGAUAAGGCACAGACUCCUAUGGGAGGCAGCAGUGGAGAAUAGUGUACAAUGGGCGGAAGGAUGAUGCAGUAAAGCCGCGUGGGGGAUGACGGCAUUCGGGUUGGAAACCGAUUUCGCCUGUGACGAAGCGUGAGUGACGGUAAUGGGUAAAGAAGCACCGGCUAACUACGUG
RNAcentral lists this ribosomal RNA (468 nucleotides) under uncultured bacterium. RNAcentral describes it as "partial 16S ribosomal RNA". It matches the Rfam family "Bacterial small subunit ribosomal RNA", at positions 28 to 507 of the family's 1533-position model. The record is from RNAcentral.